Molecule: ribosomal RNA, 169 nt
Filed under: uncultured soil bacterium
Lineage: Bacteria
Description: partial 16S ribosomal RNA
Rfam family: Bacterial small subunit ribosomal RNA
Source: RNAcentral
GUGGAGCGAGUGGCGUUAUCUGAACAGCCAUCCCGCGUGAAUGAUGAAGGCCUUAUGGUUGUAAAGUAUUUUCUGGCAGAGAAGAAAAGGUAUCUCCUAGUACCAGAUACUGCUGACGGUAUCUGCAGAAUAAGCACCGGCUAACUACGUGCCAGCAGCCGCGAUAAUA